RNAcentral lists this long non-coding RNA (4983 nucleotides) under Nicotiana benthamiana. RNAcentral describes it as "long non-coding RNA (NBEN_LNC010289)". Lineage: Eukaryota; Viridiplantae; Streptophyta; Magnoliopsida; Solanales; Solanaceae. The record is from RNAcentral.
AACAGCCCUUGCUCUCCUCUUAGACACAAUGCUCCACAGUCAUGGGUUGAUACUGUCCUCCAAAUGCAGUCCAAAGACCAAGCCAGACUUGAUUUGUUUGCCAGUCUUGUGGCUGGGAGAUCUUUUGUUCCUAUUGCUUCGGGAAGACAAGUUAUACAGACCCCAACUUAUAUUGUGAGGGCCAAGAUUGGAACCCCACCUCAAACCUUGUUGGUUGCUGUGGAUAAUAGCAAUGAUGUUGCUUGGUUCCCUUGUAGUGGUUGUGUUGGUUGUUCCUCUACUGUUUUUGCCUCAGAUAAGUCCACCACUUUCAAAAAUGUUAGCUGUGGAGCUGCACAAUGCAGCCAGGUAUCCAUUUUACCCUUUAAUACCUAUAUUUUACUCUCUCCGUUUUAUUUUAUAAUGUAAUUUUUGACCGGACAUAAAGUUUAAAAAGUAGAAAAAGAAGUUUGACAUGUAUUAAAGUGUCCUUAUAACUUGUAAUUUUAACCAUAUAUAUAUAUAUAUAUAUAUAUAUAUAUAUAUAUAUAUUGUGGAGAGAGUCCUUAACUUUUCCAAUUGACAUAAAGGAAGUGUACAAGCUCACUCCCUGUUCAGGAAACUGGCACGUGAUCUGGUUCCCACGAACCUGAGUUAAGCUGCCGGUUGAUAAAUCAAUUUUAAGUAAAAUAGAUGGAAAGGGAAAAUAAUUGAAUUAUUGCACUGUUCGUCUGAAAAUUUUUAAAAGCUGAAGCCCUUCAUGUUCUUCCUUUUGCUCAGAGAGAUGUGUUUUUACUUUAAAAUAACUCAAUGAUUUUACAGAAAGUUUUUCUUUUUCUGGUUUUCUAUUCGGUAUCCGUAUUGAAGCCCGACUAUAUCCGGAUUCGUACCGCAUAUAGUCCCAUUCUUGGAAAAAUAUUCUAUACUAAUGAUUUUUUCAUACUUAAAACUUAAACUCUAAAUCUUUAAUUAAGGGAAGAAUAGUCUCAUCUAUUCCACCUUAUCCUUAGCCGUGAUUUUAUAGAAAGUUAGGAAGACGGAACUAACCUCGACAAUGAAAAAUCUGCCACAAAUAUUUGGUUUUGCAGUGAAGACUUUUACCUAACUUUUCAGGUGAAGAGUUAAUCAUCAGAUUCUUCUCUUUUUCUUUUUUUAGUUUACAGAAAAAUCUUAUUAAUCCAAAGAAAAAAUUAACAUAGUAUGUAAUAAAAUUUGUCCAUGGAUUUUAAAUUUCUGUCUUAAAGUUCGUACUAGGCCUAGACACAUUAAGUCCUUGAGAAGGAUUAAUAUGCAUUAUAGGCAACUAUUGUACAAAUUACAAUUACUAACACCUCCUUUUGUAGCUCAAAAAUUCAAUGCAAUUACCUCUAAUUUAGAAAAUUAUAUAUGACAUCUCAAUCAGUUUAAUGUUUUGUUAUAUUGGUGUUACCUACCUUUCAUCCCUUUAACUAGAAUUGUUAAAAUCAACGAUAAUACUAAACAAUCGAUUUUCCAUGAUCCUGCUUUUAAAAAAAGAUGUUAGUGUAUGUAUCUAAAUUCUAAAAACCAUAGAGAUGAAAGAGGAAAUUUUUGGUAUGUUUUAUGAGCUGUAAUUUAAUAUCGCAAGUUUCAAAUUAUUUAUAUUUUAUAUUUCAUGUUCAAUUAAACCGAGACACAUAAAAUAAAAAAUAGAGAAUAAACUUGGUAAGGUUUUUCUAGCAAAAUCUAGGGCUUAAUAUAAGUUAUUAAUAUCCCUUUGGUACAUAGAGUAUGGUAUCAGAUCAAGAUGGUGCUCCACUUUAAUAAUUCUUUUAUUGGUUUCUAGUGUCCCUACUCUAAUUUGUGUAUUAGUAUUCCGAAUCUCACAUUAAUGCUGCAUGAGAAAGUACUGACAAAUCAUUCCCUCAUGUGCUCAUGUUCACUAAAUUACACACUAAUAUUAUUCUCCAACGGUACGUUGAUCUUAAACUACAAAUAUAUUCCUAUUUUUGUCUUUUCUUUUUGUUUGGGCUAAAUCCAAAUUAGGUUUGAUAAUGUCGACAUUUUUAAUGCAACGUUAAAUAUGUAUCUUUUAAAAUUCUUCAUGUAAGCUAUUACGUCCUUGAUUUAUAGAGAUAUAUUAUAAUAGAGCAAUAUGACUAUUUGACUCAAAAGAUAUCGAAAUCUUUUUGGACAAAUUAAUUAUAAUUGAAGGGGUCAAUCUUAGUUAGAGGUAAUAAAUUUAAGAACAAAGAGGUAACAUGAUGGAUCACAUGUAGGAUAAAAGAAAUGUAAAUGAUUUUAUUGAGAUUCAAUAUUGUGUUUCCCUUCAAUAGAUGAGGAGACAACUUUACGUAUUUUCCUGAAGAUUACUUCUUCUCUAUCAAGAAUCCUAGAAGAGAACUUUCAUUUUUUUUAGAGAGAUAGGAGGAGCAGCUAAGGGUGGGCAUUCGAUCGAUUCGGUUCGGUUUGAAGAAAUUGGGUUCGGUUAUUUAAUUUUCGGUUUUGUAAAAGUAGUAAUCAAAACGAACUGAAAUAAGUUCGGUUCAGUUCAAUUAUUUCGGUUCGAUUUUUCAUUUGAACAUUAUCAUAAUGGACACCUUCUAUGUAAUAAUAUGACCGACGAAUUUGUUGAUUUUUCCCAAAACUUCAAAAUUAUUGGAAAUAUUGUGUUUAUAGAAAGAAACAAAAAUAGACUAAACUUUGCACACUAUUAUGGAUCAUAAAAUUCAAACAUAGUGUAAGUUAUAACUCUGUGUGAAAUUCCCCCGGUAUCUAUCGCAUAUGCUAUGAAAAUUUUAACAAACUAAAAGUCUAUAAGAUUGGAAAGUUGAUAGACUUACUUAAUUGAGUUGAGUCUUUGAUAGAUUGGACCUAAUAAUAUUAAUUUAUUACCUAUGGGCUUAGCCUAUAUAUAAAUUAAAGAAUAUAUAUAUGUGUGUGUGUGUGCGCGCGCCCAACAAUUCGAUUUUUCGGUUAACCGAACUAAAAAACUUAAUAACCGAAAAUCGAACCGAAAAACCAAAAUUUUAAAUCGAAAACGACCGAACAAACUGAAUAACCGAAACCGAAAUAAAAAAAAUUCGAUUCGGUCGAUUUAUUCGGUUCCGACUGAAAUAUGCCCACCCCUAAGAGCAAUCCCGUUAUUGAAAGCUUUCCCUUGCUAUAUAUAAUUGUGGUACCUCUGCCCUCUGUUUGGCCCGAUGUCCUUUUGCCUCCAAUGUGUCUUAGUCGUGUUUUUAGGCCCCGCUCUUGCCGACUCGUUGGAUGUCAGGGAAGGAAUAUGGAGCGGGCUAUAUUAUUCUUCGUUGCCCGGUUACUUAAGCGAAAUGUUGGUCAGCUUGAUCGCAACAGUAAGAUUUUGACCAAUUCAAUGACAAAAAGACUUUAAAAAUGUUGGUUCUUCCACUGAAAUUAAGAUAUUGGCAGAUAUAUUUAAGACAAUUUGAGACAAAAAGCCCUAGCGAAAAUCAAACCUGAUUUGACUGAUCUAAGUGAUGUUAAUUUAUGGCACUUAACAAGAAAUUAGCUAAAUGUUUGGGGGAAUUCGACAAAAUAGAUAGAAUGUGUAUCAAAGAUUGUUUAUAGAUUGGCAGAUUGUUUUAAACUGACAGUUCACUAAGCUUAAUGCUUAAUGAAUGUCGAUAUUUACAUAUUCCAUUGGUCGUAAAAAAAAACAAGAAAAGGUUGGCAAUAAAAAUUGCCAAAAAUUGAAUAAGAAAUAAUAUCAUGUUAUCUAUGUGAAGAACAGAGAUGAUAUCAUACACUAGGUAAAUGGAAUACAGUCUGUAUCAAACUACAGUCCAUAGACACUACACAACACUUCACACCUUCUCGAGUAUUCUCCCACCCAUGUUCAAAUAAAGAUAAGUGAAAAUUUCAUGGUAUAUAUAAUAUCCCGUUUAAUUAAUUUUAUUUCCAAAUGUAUUCUCCAUAUUUUAUUCUGAUAGUUCAGUUGCCAUUUUUGUAAUAUCCCAAAUUUUAGACAUAAUCCUAUAUCGGCAAAACAUAAAAGAAAUGCUAGGUAUAUAAGUUAACAUGUCUUAGACUUUAGUAACACACCUUAAUCUCGUGAAUGUCUAAGCGCAGAGAAAAUAAUAUCACCAACGAGUUGUGCUGUGACAAUAUUUUCCAAAAAAAAUGAAAAAGUAAAAGAGCAAUUGACCUUUUGAUCCCUCAAUUAUGUAAAUUAUUUUUGAUACAUUUGAUAUUCCACUUAGCAUAUUUAAUCUUACUGAUUAGUCGAAUUAAUCAAAAUAUUUUUUUUGUCCCUAACACACACACAUAUAGACGCACACAUAUAUACACACACUAUACUAGCCUCAAUUAUGAAAAACUAGAUAUAACACGAGUAAUUAGAUGGGUUUACAGUUAAUAAUUUAUUAAGAUCGUAUAAGUUCACAAUCAAAAAGAUUAAAAGUAAAGUGCCUUAUUUAAUUAAUUAUAAAUUAAAUGUGCUUAACUAUAAAUCAAGGACAAAACCCAGAAAUUAUAAAAAUAUCAACUAAAAGUUUAAAUUGUAAAAGAAAAUAAUCAAAAGAAGUACACAUCCUCAACUAUAUAUACAUGUAAGCACACCCUCUUAAACCACACCAAAAGCCAAAAUACUUUCACAAGCCAAUCAAUGGAGGGCUCUAUCAUUUUCUCACUACCCCUUCUCUUAUUUUUCACUCUAGCCCAAGGGCUAACCAACCCCAAAUGUAGCAGCAGCUUUCACCAAGCAGACAAAGGCUCAACACUACAAGUCCUACAUGUGAACAGCCCUUGCUCUCCUCUUAGACACAAUGCUCCACAGUCAUGGGUUGAUACUGUCCUCCAAAUGCAGUCCAAAGACCAAGCCAGACUUGAUUUGUUUGCCAGUCUUGUGGCUGGGAGAUCUUUUGUUCCUAUUGCUUCGGGAAGACAAGUUAUACAGACCCCAACUUAUAUUGUGAGGGCCAAGAUUGGAACCCCACCUCAAACCUUGUUGGUUGCUGUGGAUAAUAGCAAUGAUGUUGCUUGGUUCCCUUGUAGUGGUUGUGUUGGUUGUUCCUCUACUGUUUUUGC